This 153-nucleotide ribosomal RNA is filed under the name Archidendron bubalinum. RNAcentral's name for it is "partial 5.8S ribosomal RNA". It matches the Rfam family "5.8S ribosomal RNA". From Rfam's summary of the family: 5.8S ribosomal RNA (5.8S rRNA) is a component of the large subunit of the eukaryotic ribosome. It is transcribed by RNA polymerase I as part of the 45S precursor that also contains 18S and 28S rRNA. RNAcentral also lists the same sequence under 2 other names. Lineage: Eukaryota; Viridiplantae; Streptophyta; Magnoliopsida; Fabales; Fabaceae. The record is from RNAcentral.
AUAUCUCGGCUCUUGCAUCGAUGAAGAACGUAGCGAAAUGCGAUACUUGGUGUGAAUUGCAGAAUCCCGUGAACCAUCGAGUCUUUGAACGCAAGUUGCGCCCGAAGCCGUCAGGCCGAGGGCACGUCUGCCUGGGUGUCACGCAACGUCGCC